CAGUCGCCGCGGUAAUACGUAGGUGGCAAGCGUUGUCCGGAAUUAUUGGGCGUAAAGGGCUCGCAGGCGGUUUCUUAAGUCUGAUGUGAAAGCCCCCGGCUCAACCUGGGAGGGUCAUUGGAAACUGGGAAACUUGAGUGCAGAAGAGGAGAGUGGAAUUCCACGUGUAGCGGUGAAAUGCAUAGAGAUGUGGAGGAACACCAGUGGCGAAGGCGACUCUCUGGUCUGUAACUGACGCUGAGGAGCGAAAGCGUGGGGAGCGAACAGGAUUAGAUACCCCGGUAGUCCCUGUCUCUUAUAC
Molecule: ribosomal RNA, 301 nt
Filed under: uncultured bacterium
Lineage: Bacteria
Description: partial 16S ribosomal RNA
Rfam family: Bacterial small subunit ribosomal RNA
Source: RNAcentral